AGUCAACAUGCCCAGGGGACGUGGAUAACCUCGGGAAACUGAGGAUAAACCGCGAUAGGCCAUGAUUUCUGGAAUGGUUCAUGGCCGAAAUCUAUAUGGCCCCUGGAUUGGACUGCGGCCGAUCAGGCUGUUGGUGAGGUAAUGGCCCACCAAACCUGUAACCGGUACGGGCUCUGAGAGGAGGAGCCCGGAGAUGGGCACUGAGACAAGGGCCCAGGCCCUAUGGGGCGCAGCAGGCGCGAAAUCUCUGCAAUAGGCGAAAGCUUGACAGGGUUACUCUGAGUGGUUCCCGUUAAGGGGAUCUUUUGGCACCUUUAAAAAUGGUGCAGAAUAAGGGGUGGGCAAGUCUGGUGUCAGCCGCCGCGGUAAUACCAGCACCCCGAGUGGUCGGGACGAUUAUUGGGCCUAAAGCAUCCGUAGCCGGUACUGCAAGUCUUCCGUUAAAUCCACCUGCUUAACAGUUGGGCUGCGGGGGAUACUACGGCGCUAGGAGGCGGGAGAGGCAAGCGGUACUCAAUGGGUAGGGGUAAAAUCCGCUGAUCCAUUGAAGACCACCAGUGGCGGAGGCGGCUUGCCAGAACGCGCUCGACGGUGAGGGAUGAAAGCUGGGGGAGCAAACCGGAUUAGAUACCCGGGUAGUCCCAGCUGUAAACGAUGCAGACUCGGUGAUGGGCUGGCCUUGUGCCAGCCCAGUGCCGCAGGGAAGCCGUUAAGUCUGCCGCCUGGGGAGUACGGUCGCAAGACUGAAACUUAA
RNAcentral lists this ribosomal RNA (754 nucleotides) under uncultured archaeon. RNAcentral describes it as "bacterial SSU rRNA". It matches the Rfam family "Archaeal small subunit ribosomal RNA", at positions 102 to 859 of the family's 1478-position model. The record is from RNAcentral.